This 93-nucleotide microRNA precursor is filed under the name Lepisosteus oculatus (spotted gar). RNAcentral's name for it is "Danio rerio miR-92b stem-loop (ENSLOCG00000018976.1)". The record is from RNAcentral. Lineage: Eukaryota; Metazoa; Chordata; Actinopteri; Semionotiformes; Lepisosteidae.
UCCGACGGCCCGGCAGGUGUGGGAUGCAGUGCACUGUUGUCCGAUCUCCUCCCAAUAUUGCACUCGUCCCGGCCUCCCGGACCCUCGGGACAC